AGUGAACGCUGGCGGUAGGCCUAACACAUGCAAGUCGAACGGAAGCACAGUAAGAGCUUGCUCUUACGGGUGGCGAGUGGCGGACGGGUGAGGAAUACAUAAGAAUCUACUUUGUCGUGGGGGAUAUCGUAGGGAAACUUACGCUAAUACCGCAUACGUCCUACGGGAGAAAGCAGGGGAUCUUCGGACCUUGCGCGAUUGUAUGAGCCGAUGUCGGAUUAGCUAGUUGGCGGGGUAAAGGCACACCAAGGCGACGAUCCGUAGCUGGUCUGAGAGGAUGAUCGGCCACACUGGAACUGAGACACGGUCCAGACUCCUACGGGAGGCAGCAGUGGGGAAUAUUGGACAAUGGGCGCAAGCCUGAUCCAGCCAUGCCGCGUGAGUGAAGAAGGCCUUCGGAUCGUAAAGCCCUUUUGUUGGGAAAGAAAAGCAGCAGGUUAAUACCCCGCUGUUCUGACGGUACCUAAAGAAUAAGCACCGGCUAACUUCGUG
RNAcentral lists this ribosomal RNA (492 nucleotides) under uncultured bacterium. Its description in RNAcentral is "partial 16S ribosomal RNA". It matches the Rfam family "Bacterial small subunit ribosomal RNA", at positions 29 to 507 of the family's 1533-position model. The record is from RNAcentral.